AAAAAAAAUAGAGAAAAAAAGAGAAAAAUGGAGGGAAAAUGCACCGAAGCUUCCAAAUUAUCACUGUUUUUGCCGUUCCCAUUUUCUGCACGUUUCCGGGGUGUCUGACGAGAAAUUGGCGCUUGCCACUAUGACCUGAAUGAAAAUGUGGUAUGCAGAUAUAC
Molecule: non-coding RNA, 164 nt
Filed under: Eutreptiella gymnastica
Lineage: Eukaryota; Euglenozoa; Euglenophyceae; Eutreptiales; Eutreptiaceae
Source: RNAcentral